Oreochromis niloticus (Nile tilapia) is the source of this 4855-nucleotide RNA transcript. It is a transcript of the gene named purinergic receptor P2X, ligand-gated ion channel, 2, with no coding region annotated. The transcript has 13 exons. NCBI's taxonomy places the organism in Eukaryota, Metazoa, Chordata, Actinopteri, Cichliformes, Cichlidae. The record is from RefSeq and is a predicted model, not a curated record.
GUCUUUAUGCCUCAAGCUUGGGUCCCCUACCAGAGGCCUGGAAGCUUGAGGGUCCUGUACAGUAUCUUUGCUGUUCCCAGGACUACACUCUUCUGGACAGAGAUCUAGAAUAUCAUUCUUGGGAUCUGCUCAAGCCACUUGCCCAGUUUGGGAGUCACUAUCCUGAGUGCUCUGAUUACCACUGGGACCACUGUUGCCUUCACCCUCCACAUCUUCUUAAGCUCUUCUCUCAACCCAUGGUAUUUCUUGAGCUUCUUGUGUUUCUUCUUCCUGAAAAUGUUAUCCUAGCAACAUCUUUCACUGUGGCCAUCUUCCUCUGCUUGUCCAACACUACUAUGUCCAGUUGGUUAGCCAUCACCAGUUUGUCUGUCUGUAACUGGCAGGCUCUUAGCUCAGUCAUCAUCAACCACCAUGGAGGGCAUAUCACAUUUUGACCUCAUGACUUUCAGGCCAUACUUGGCACAGAUAUUUCUCUAUAUACCAGCUACCUGGAUUUGCUGCCAUCUAGCAUCUUGCACCCUGGUGUUAUGUGUUGGAGUGUCUCAGGGACAUCUUUGCACAGCUUGCACCUGGGGUCUUGCCUGGUGUGGUACACCAUUGCCUCUAUGGAUCUUGUACUUAGAGCUUGUUCCUGCGCUGCCAUGAUUUGUGCCUCUGUGCUGUCUUUCAGUACAGCUUUUUUCAGCCAUUGGUUGGAUUUCUUGAUAAUAGACACUUCUUCUAUCUGCUGGUGGUACAUGCUGUAUGGGGGCCUGUCCUUCCAUGAUGGUUCCUCUUCUUGCCCUUUCUAUUUCUCAUGUUUCUGCUGCCUGAGGUAUUCACUAAGCACGUGGUCAUUCGUUGGCAUCUUCCUGAUGUACAGGGGUGGUUGUAGCUCAGAAGGUAGAGUAUCUACUAAUUGGAAGCUUGGUGGUUUGAUCCCUGGCUGCUCCAGACUACAUGCCAAAUAUUCUUCGGCAAGAUACUAACACCUUGUUGCUCUCCAAUGCAUCCAUCUCAAGUGUAAAUGUUUGAUAGAAAACACUUAAGCAUAGAAAAAGUGCUUGUAUGAAUGGGUGUGCAUGGGUGAAUGAGGCAUGCUGUAUAAAGCGCUCUGAACGCUCUGAUUGGGUAGAAAAAGCACUUGUACAGUUCUAGGCAUUCCAGGAUCCACAUGUAAGUCAUUGAGUCAGAGGCUCUCUUGAAGUCAGUCCAGGCAGUGCAUAGGUUGGUCGGUCUGGUCUUACAGUUACUGAUCUGUCUACCAGUAGCUGUUGUUUCCCCCCCACUGAGUUUUUCUGCCAAUUCCUGCCCUGCUCAUGUAUUGAGCCAUGUGCCUGUUCAUUUUGCUAUGAUGCCUGACAGAAGCUUCCAUGUACUGCAGCAAGUUAUUGGCUAGUAGUUGGAUAGGACCAGUCAGGACUGUCCGGCCUUCAGUUAGCCAUUCUCGUCGUGUCUCAUCCAUUAGCAGGUGGUUCAUUUGUGCUUCAGAGAUUCAUGAAGGGCAGUUAGCUUCUUUAGUCAGUAUCUGUGUAUCAUGUCAAGGCCUGGUGCUGUCCAAAUCUUCAUGCUUAUGACCCUUUCUUGGAUGCCUACUGCUGUGAUGGUUACUGGAUCUUAUCCAGGGAGGUUGCUGUGGUCUGCUCUUAGAGCCACUAGCCACUGAGCAUUAUUGCUAUAAGUUGCAUCUCGCACAUGGUCUUCCAGUACUGCUAGGUCUCCAGCAUUGGUGAGGCUGUUGUUCUCAUAUUGUUUCCCUGCCACUGAGAGUACCUUGAAUGGUUUAUUCUCCUGGCUUCGAACUUUCUGGUAUACCUUUUCAAGCAGCUACCCAAGGCUGUGAGUCUUUGCUUGGCAGUUUCUAAGACCUCAGGUAUGGACAGGUUGUUGUACUUCUUCGGCAUCCCUUUUUUCGUCACACCUUUCUGCAGGUUUGACCGUUGCUCAUAAAAAUCCAGACCAACACACUCUGAUCAAAACCAGUAAUUUCAAGCAAUUAAUAGAUCUGCAAAUUUUGACAAUUUAAAACAAUGUAUGUGCAAAGUAAGACAGUAUGUAAAAAGAAAAGAUAAAAAACUAAUAACAAGAAGAUGAGAGUUAAAAGAGUCUUGCACAGGGAGAAACUGAUCCAGGCAUAAAGCUGAUUUAUCAGAAUAGAGUGGCAUAAAAAAUGAAUCCUGCCUUCAACCACAUCAGGACCCCACCCCCUACUCUCUUGUUCACUCACUGGUGCCAGGGAUGCUUGAGAGAAAUGCAGGCUGGAGCUGAGAAAAAGACAUGAUGACAGAAAUUUAAAGCUAAAUAUACAGAUUCAAUCAUAAGACUUCACAAGAACAUCUGAGGAUAUGACGGAAACAUGCCAUAAAAUCAUCAUGGGGCUACAUAACUUCCUGAAGGAGUAUAUUCAUGGUUUUUGGGACUAUGAGACCCCCAAGGUGAUGGUGGUUAAGAACAGAACUCUUGGCGUGAUUUACAGGAGUGUUCAGUUUCUUGUGAUCACUUAUUUCAUAUGGUAUGUCUUUAUAAGUCAGAAAGCAUACCAAGAGAGUGAAACCCGUCCAGAGAGCUCUGUUUACACUCUCAUGAAAGGCUCAGCAAUUCAUGGAGAUGAGAUCCUGGACACUGUGGAGUAUGCCCGACCCUCAGAGGGUGGCGAUGUGAUUAGCACAAUACUGAGACGAGAAUUCACGUUCAAUCAGAGACAAGACACCUGUGCUGAGCAUUUCAAUGUUGCCGAUGCCAACUGCACCACCGAUUCUGACUGCGUCGAAGGGGAAGUCAACUUCAAUGGCCACGGCAGAAGGACGGGCAGAUGUGUUCAGUACUACAACCACACCUUUAAAACCUGUGAGAUACAAACCUGGUGUCCGAUUGAGGAAUACGCUGUAGUACGAGAACCACCAUUAGAGGAGGCCAUCAAUUUCACAGUGUUCAUCAGGAACUCUAUCCACUUCCCCAAAUUUAAAGUGCUGAGGGGAAAUAUUAAGGAUGCCCGAAACAAGCGAGACAUUAAGAGAUACCUGAAUAAGUGUCACUAUGAUGAGGAGAGUGACCCCUACUGUCCCAUCUUCCGCUUGGGAUACAUCGCAGCACAAGCGAGGGAGAAUUUUAGUGAGCUCUGCAACACUGGAGGAGUGAUCGGUGUUUUCAUCAACUGGAAGUGUAACUUGGAUCUGGAUCCCUCACACUGUAAACCCACAUACUCAUUCCGUCGCCUUGACCUCCGAAAGGAUCUGCCCGACGCUGGUUAUUAUUACAGGUUUGCCAAAUAUUACAGUAAAGAUGGAGAAGAAACUCGGACACUAAUCAAGGCCUAUGGCAUCCGUCUAGAUAUCAUAGUUCAUGGACAUGCUGGUAAAUUUAGCCCUAUUCCAACCAUCAUCAGCACAGUGACUGCUAUGACUUCUGUUGGGAUUUGUACAAUAAUCUGCGACUGGAUCAUGCUGACAUUUAUCGACAAGAAUGAAGUCUACAGUGAGAGAAAGUUUGAUGAAGUGAUCAAGGAGCCCACAAAUCCCAUACCCACAGAGCUCAGCUACAUCAACAGCUUCGGCUCGAACCAUUCUGACCUGUCUGACGGCGUACCGCUGUGACCAAAGUCCUCGCUGGCCAAGUGCAUGGACUCCCCACCACCGACUUCGGCAAAACAGCAACUGCAUCUCAGUUUGAUGUGCUCAGCACACAGGAGGAAACUGCCAGGAGAAACACAAGGAGGGCUACGAACAGUAAUCGAAUAAUGCAGACAUUUCCCAUAAAAUGGUUCCUGUAACAAGAUUGCGGGGAAGUGUGAAUCCAUCUGGUUGCCAGUGAGCAAUACAGAUGUCAAAAAAAAAAACCCACGUAAAAAUUUAAGACUCAAUUUGAGUGAUCAAUAACUGCCAUGAAGGUAGGCAGAAAGUCACUUCAUUUUGGAAAUUAUGGACUUGCAACACAUAAAAAGUGUGACAGCAUUUAUGUGAAAAUAUAUUUUUGUAAUUUGCCCGACAGACAAACCAUAUUAACUAAAUGUAACAUUUGCUGAGAGGCUGAUGCAAAUGCAAAUAAGUCAUUUAAGAGCACAAAAAUGCUCUCAUCAUUUCUUUUUAUCAACAUACAUGCAGAACAUGUCUAUGAGAACCUCAAAGAAGUGAAUCUGAUUGUACAGCAGUUAAGUCUGAAAUGUGAUUACUUGUCUGGGAGACACCCACCAGGAGGUAACGUGAGUCAUCUGAGAAACAAUGAGGUUAAAGUGAAGGGGAUGUGUGGAUUAAGGCAAUUCUAAAGCAGACAUACAUAACGCUCACUACCAGAUACAUAUAUCCCAUAUGGGAUAAUGACAAAAAAACAAAUUUGCAUCCAGCCAGAAAUUCAUCUUUUUCAGUCUGCAAGGUUCAAAUUUGCUCAAUAAAAAAGGAAGUUAGAUUUGUCAAAGUCGUCUUCACUGUCGCCAAACCAAAGAAACAAUGAAAGAUUACGCAACAUGCAAUGAGGCAGCAUUAGUCAAGUUUCACAGCAGAAGAAAUUAGAGUGGAUGCAGGUCAUGUAAUUGAAGCUGUGCGCAAUUUACAGCAGACACAUUAGCAGCCGAGGGAGGGAGGAGAAAACCGAGACAGCGUAACGACAGAGUAGAUCCAAUUUAGAAAAAAUACAGAACUGCAGCAAUCACAAGCAGACCAAGACACAUGAAAAACACAUUUAUUAUCAGUGAAAAUCUUCAUACACAUACAUAACUAAUACAAUCCAAACAUAUUUACAGUGCACAUAUCCUGCUUCAUCGGGAAAUCAUCUUGGUUACACAAUCACACAGCAAGAAACAGAUCAAUGCUGAAAUUCGCAUAAAACUCAUAAAAAUGCAGGAAAGCACUCUGUUUCCUGAUUUGUAGUUGCUACAGAUGGA